RNAcentral lists this ribosomal RNA (848 nucleotides) under uncultured eukaryote. Its description in RNAcentral is "SSU rRNA". It matches the Rfam family "Eukaryotic small subunit ribosomal RNA", at positions 582 to 1455 of the family's 1831-position model. The record is from RNAcentral.
AUUCCAGCUCCAAUAGCGUAUAUUAAAGUUGUUGCAGUUAGAACGCUCGUAGUCGGAUUUCGGGGCGAGCCUUCCGGUCUGCCGAUGGGUAUGCACUGGUAGGGUCGUCCUUCCUUCCGGAGACCGUUCCUACUCUUAACUGAGCGGGGUCGGGAGACGGAAUUUUUACUUUGAAAAAAUCAGAGUGUUUCAAGCAGGCAGCUCGCUCUUGCAUGGAUUAGCAUGGGAUAAUGAAAUAGGACUUUGGUGCUAUUUUGUUGGUUUCGAACACCGAAGUAAUGAUGAGAAGGGACAGUCAGGGGCACUCGUAUUCCGCCGAGAGAGGUGAAAUUCUCAGACCAGCGGAAGACGAACCACUGCGAAAGCAUUUGCCAGGGAUGUUUUCACUGAUCAAGAACGAAAGUUAGGGGAUCGAAGACGAUCAGAUACCGUCGUAGUCUUAACCAUAAACCAUGCCGACUAGGGAUUGGGGGAUGUUCACUGAUUGACUUCCUCAGCACCUUACGGGAAACUAAAGUCUUUGGGUUCCGGGGGGAGUAUGGUCGCAAGGCUGAAACUUAAAGGAAUUGACGGAAGGGCACCACCAGGUGUGGAGCCUGCGGCUUAAUUUGACUCAACACGGGGAAACUUACCAGGUCCAGACAUUGUGAGGAUUGACAGAUUGAGAGCUCUUUCUUGAUUCGAUGGGUGGUGGUGCAUGGCCGUUCUUAGUUGGUGGAGUGAUUUGUCUGGUUAAUUCCGUUAACGAACGAGACCUUAGCCUGCUAAAUAGUGACGCGAACACUUCGUUCGUGGGCCACUUCUUAGAGGGACAACUUGUCUUCAACAAGUGGAAGUUUGAGGCAAUA